RNAcentral lists this ribosomal RNA (907 nucleotides) under uncultured bacterium. RNAcentral's name for it is "bacterial SSU rRNA". It matches the Rfam family "Bacterial small subunit ribosomal RNA", at positions 14 to 911 of the family's 1533-position model. The record is from RNAcentral.
UGAUCAUGGCUCAGGAUGAACGCUAGCGGGAGGCUUAAUACAUGCAAGUCGAACGGCAGCAGGUCGGAUAUUUAUAUUUGAUGCUGGCGAGUGGCGCACGGGUGAGUAACGCGUACACAACCUACCCUUAAGAGGGGGAUAGCCCAGAGAAAUUUGGAUUAAUACCCCAUAAUAUUCUAAAGCUGCAUAGCUUAAGGAUUAAAGUUAAGGCGCUUAAGGAUGGGUGUGCGUCCCAUUAGUUAGUUGGCAGGGUAACGGCCUACCAAGACAGCGAUGGGGUAAGGGGCGUGAGAGCGUGACCCCUCACACGGGUACUGAGACACGGACCCGACUCCUACGGGAGGCAGCAGUAAGGAAUAUUGGACAAUGGGCGCAAGCCUGAUCCAGCCAUCCCGCGUGCAGGAUGAAUGCCCUAUGGGUUGUAAACUGCUUUUAUCAGGGAAGAAAUCCCCCGACGUGUUGGGGGUUGACGGUACCUGAAGAAUAAGCACCGGCUAACUCCGUGCCAGCAGCCGCGGUAAUACGGAGGGUGCAAGCGUUAUCCGGAAUCACUGGGUUUAAAGGGUGCGUAGGCGGCUUAAUAAGUCAGAGGUGAAAGGCCACAGCUUAACUGUGGAACUGCCUUUGAUACUGUUAAGCUAGAAUCAAGUUGAAGUUAGUGGAAUGUGGCAUGUAGCGGUGAAAUGCAUAGAUAUGCCAUAGAACACCGAUUGCGAAGGCAGCUAACUGGGCUUGUAUUGACGCUGAGGCACGAAAGCGUGGGGAGCGAACAGGAUUAGAUACCCUGGUAGUCCACGCCCUAAACGAUGCUAACUCGAUGUGUGAUCUUUAAGAUUGCGUGUCCAAGGGAAACCGUUAAGUUAGCCACCUGGGGAGUACGUUCGCAAGAAUGAAACUCAAAUGAAAU